RNAcentral lists this unclassified non-coding RNA (345 nucleotides) under soil metagenome. Its description in RNAcentral is "partial contains 5.8S ribosomal RNA, internal transcribed spacer 2, and large subunit ribosomal RNA". The stretch from base 1 to 120 matches the Rfam family "5.8S ribosomal RNA", at positions 35 to 154 of the family's 154-position model. The record is from RNAcentral.
GAUGAAGAACGUAGCGAAAUGGGAUACGUAAUGUGAAUUGCAGAAUUCAGUGAAUCAUCGAGUCUUUGAACGCACAUUGCGCCCCCUGGUAUUCCGGGGGGCAUGCCUGUCCGAGCGUCAUUGCUGCCCUCAAGCACGGCUUGUGUGUUGGGCCUCCGUCCUCCUCCCGGGGGACGGGCCCGAAAGGCAGCGGCGGCACCGCGUCCGGUCCUCGAGCGUAUGGGGCUUCGUCACCCGCUCUUGUAGGCCCGGCCGGCGCUUGCCGACACAUCAAUCUUUUUUCCAGGUUGACCUCGGAUCAGGCAGGGAUACCCGCUGAACUUAAGCAUAUCAAUAAGCGGAGGA